CCUACGGGAGACUGCAGUGGGGGAUAUUGCACAAUGGGGGAAACCCUGAUGCAGCGACGCCGCGUGGGUGAAGAAGUAUUUCGGUAUGUAAAGCCCUAUCAGCAGGGAAGAAAGAAGACGGUACCUGACUAAGAAGCCCCGGCUAACUACGUGCCAGCAGCCGCGGUAAUACGUAGGGGGCGAGCGUUAUCCGGAUUCACUGGGUGUAAAGGGAGCGUAGACGGCCGUGCAAGCCAGGAGUGAAAGCCCGGGGCCCAACCCCGGGACUGCUCUUGGAACUGUGCGGCUGGAGUGCGGGAGGGGCAGGCGGAAUUCCUGGUGUAGCGGUGAAAUGCGUAGAUAUCAGGAGGAACACCGGCGGCGAAGGCGGCCUGCUGGACCGCGACUGACGUUGAGGCUCGAAAGCGUGGGGAGCGAACAGGAUUAGAUACCCCUGUAGUC
This 441-nucleotide ribosomal RNA is filed under the name uncultured bacterium. RNAcentral describes it as "partial 16S ribosomal RNA". It matches the Rfam family "Bacterial small subunit ribosomal RNA", at positions 338 to 795 of the family's 1533-position model. The record is from RNAcentral.